Peromyscus californicus insignis is the source of this 431-nucleotide long non-coding RNA. RefSeq lists it as uncharacterized. The record is from RefSeq and is a predicted model, not a curated record. The transcript has 2 exons. Lineage: Eukaryota; Metazoa; Chordata; Mammalia; Rodentia; Cricetidae.
CGCGGAGGAAGCACCAGCGCGGGGUGGGGACUCAGCCCGCACUCGCCGCCGCUUGGGAAGCAUCUGGAUACGGAACUCAGGAGGCACGGAAGGCCGCAGAACCGAGGAAGCCGAGGGCGGUGCCUCAGCUUACCCUGGACCAGCUGCCUCUGUUGGUGACACAGCGCCUGCGCGGCAUCCUCUGCGUCUGCAAAGGAGAGCAGAUACGUAGUCUGUGAGUGAGCUAACGGACUGUGAAAAAAUUUUCCAAUCUAAUGGCAUUGGGACCAGCUGGCCGUCCAUUUGGAAAAAUAGAAAUUGGCCCCCAUCAAGUAAAUCCCAGAUGGAUCAAACAUUCAAAUCAAUCUGAAAAGAAACCCAAACUGUACUGGCAGAAACUCGAUUUUUUUUUUAUUUCUAAAAAAUAUUUAUUAAAUUUAUUUAUCUUUGUU